GGCAAGGUGGCCGAGUGGUUAUGGCGUUAGUUUGUGAGUUAACACUGACAGCUUAUUACUGAGUAUAUUGAUUACUAACCCCCAUCACAGUAGGAACUUCCGAAACACUAAUGAGAGAUCGCGCGGGUUCGAAUCCCGUCCUUGUCA
Non-coding RNA from Aspergillus tanneri, 147 nucleotides. The record is from the annotation of a RefSeq genome assembly. NCBI's taxonomy places the organism in Eukaryota, Fungi, Ascomycota, Eurotiomycetes, Eurotiales, Aspergillaceae.